Molecule: ribosomal RNA, 478 nt
Filed under: uncultured bacterium
Lineage: Bacteria
Description: partial 16S ribosomal RNA
Rfam family: Bacterial small subunit ribosomal RNA
Source: RNAcentral
GAUGAACGCUGGCGGCGUGCUUAACACAUGCAAGUCGAACGAGAAGUGAAGACGGAAACCUUCGGGCGGAAGGCUUUAUUUCGAGUGGCGGACGGGUGAGUAACGCGUGGGUAACCUGCCUCAUCCAGGGGGAUAACAGUUGGAAACGACUGUUAAUACCGCAUAAGACCACAGCACCGCAUGGUGCGGGGGUAAAAACUCCGGUGGUAUGAGAUGGACCCGCGUUCGAUUAGCCAGUUGGCGGGGUAACGGCCCACCAAAGCGACGAUCGAUAGCCGAUCUGAGAGGAUGACCGGCCACAUUGGGACUGAGACACGGCCCGAACUCCUACGGGAGGCAGCAGUGGGGAAUAUUGCACAAUGGGGGAAAGCCUGAUGCAGCGACGCCGCGUGAGUGAAGAAGUAUUUCGGUAUGUAAAGCUCUAUCAGCAGGGAAGAAAAUGACGGUACCUGAGGAAGAAGCCCCGGCUAACUACGUG